This is an unclassified non-coding RNA of Papio anubis (olive baboon), 148 nucleotides long. It matches the Rfam family "Metazoan signal recognition particle RNA". Rfam says of the family: The signal recognition particle (SRP) is a universally conserved ribonucleoprotein. The record is from Ensembl. Lineage: Eukaryota; Metazoa; Chordata; Mammalia; Primates; Cercopithecidae.
GCUGGGCAUGGUGGCGCACGCCUGUAAUCCCAGCUACUUGGGAGGCUGAGGCAGGAGAAUCACUUGAACCCAGGAGGCAGAGACUGCAGUGAGCUUAGAUCACACCACUGCACUCUAGCCUGGGUGACAGAGUGAGACUCCAUCUCAA